GACGAACGCUGGCGGCGUGCCUAACACAUGCAAGUCGAGCGGGGUCCAUCCGGUAGCAAUACCGGGGAAGACCUAGCGGCGAACGGGUGAGUAACACGUGAGAAACCUGCCCCGAAGUCUGGGAUAACCCGAGGAAACUCGAGCUAAUACCGGAUGUCUUCUUCUGAUCGCAUGGUCGGAUGAAGAAAAGAUUUAUCGCUUCGGGAGGGUCUCGCGGCCUAUCAGCUAGUUGGCGGGGUAACGGCCCACCAAGGCGUCGACGGGUAGCUGGUCUGAGAGGACGAUCAGCCACACUGGGACUGAGACACGGCCCAGACUCCUACGGGAGGCAGCAGUGGGGAAUAUUGCGCAAUGGGCGAAAGCCUGACGCAGCAACGCCGCGUGCGGGAUGAAGGCCUCGGUUGUAACGACUUCUAGUGGGACGGAAGUUACAGACGGUACCG
This 443-nucleotide ribosomal RNA is filed under the name uncultured bacterium. Its description in RNAcentral is "bacterial SSU rRNA". It matches the Rfam family "Bacterial small subunit ribosomal RNA", at positions 28 to 480 of the family's 1533-position model. The record is from RNAcentral.